CGUAUUUUCCCACCCUCUUUUUCUCUUCCCACGUUCUUUUAUAUCGAAAUCAACCCCCAAAAUCUAUUUCUUUUAUCUCUUUUCUUCUUUCCCCCAAAAAAUUAGGGUUUUAACAAUCAAAACACAAUAAACAAACAAAUUAAUCGAAUGGUGAUUUGUCGUUGUGGGAGAAACGCAAUUGUUCGAACUUGGUGGACAGAUAAUAACCCUGGAAGUCGAUUUUAUUCAUGUCCAGAACAGCGUUCAAAUUGUAGAUUCAUAGGUUGGGUCAAUCCGCCUAUGUGUCCUCGUUCAGAGGUUAUCAUACCUGGGUUGUUGCGAUCGAAGAAUGUUGUUGAUGCCAAAUUAAAAUCAAGAGAAAUGGAACUUACAAGAUUCAAGAUGUAUUUGGCUGUUAGUUGGCUCUUUUUCAUUGUUGUGUUUAUUGUACUCAUAGGGUAGAUUUGGCUAUUCAAGAUGUAUUCGAUUUGCCGUUCAAAAAAAAAGAUGUAUUUGAUUUGGCUAUUCAAGAUUCAAGAUGUAUUUGGUUGUUUGUGAAGUAGUGUUUUCACCAGACAUGUACUCUUUUGUUUAUUAAGUAGAAGACAAUUUAACAUGUU
This is a long non-coding RNA of Erigeron canadensis, 599 nucleotides long. RefSeq lists it as uncharacterized. The transcript is spliced from 2 exons. The record is from RefSeq and is a predicted model, not a curated record. NCBI's taxonomy places the organism in Eukaryota, Viridiplantae, Streptophyta, Magnoliopsida, Asterales, Asteraceae.